Nothoprocta perdicaria is the source of this 1436-nucleotide long non-coding RNA. RefSeq lists it as uncharacterized. The transcript is spliced from 4 exons. NCBI's taxonomy places the organism in Eukaryota, Metazoa, Chordata, Aves, Tinamiformes, Tinamidae. The record is from RefSeq and is a predicted model, not a curated record.
ACACUAAAAACGUUGCUACCACUUGUGUUUUUUAUGCAUCUCAUGCCCCUUCUAGUGCACUUGCACAGGGUGUGUCUGGGKGUGCGUCGCUACUGCUUCAUCUUUUCCAAGUACUGAUCACUUUUCCUGAGUGUGGUGAUACUAGUGUCUUAUCUAUCCUUCUCCAAAUAUUUUUUUAAAUUUACUUGUAUCCUGAGUACCUUGAAGCAAUGCAACUGGUCAGUCUGAUUGGUUUUUAUUUGUGGUAUUAAAUCAUAGUACUGGAAAAACUGAGGUCUAUCCCGAUGGGAUCUCUUCCAUAGGUUCGUGUCGUUGGAAACGCCUCACAGAAUAAACUUGUGGUUCCGCUUUGCCCAUUGAGCUGCUCGUUGGCUCUGUGGGAUAAGAACUGCAAGACAAGYCUUAAUUUACACCCUAGGGCUGGAAAUAAAGCCUGUGUUCUUGUUUAGGUACUGACURCUUUUGCUGUGAGAAAUAGAUGCAAAUGGAAAAGCUUGGUACUUCAGGACACUGCAGCAGCCGAGCUCUGCCUGGGUGGGAGGAUUGCCUGGAGGAGGAGGGGGAUCACUUCUUAGGCAGGGUCUGCUGUUGAGUCACUGGCCAUGUCAGAAGGGCAGGAAGCAACACAUCAGUGCAGCCAGAGUGAGCCUGAAGGUCCUGCUGCAAUGCUGAGGAAGAACAAGAGAGCUCUUCUAAAUCAGUUACAGAAAGGACAUGUUUUUAUAUUUAUGACAUCUUAUUGCAGUAAUUAAAAAAAGUCAUUACAGAUUUUUUACUGCAGUGGAUUUGGGAUUUGAAGCAGUGGAUUUGGGAAUGAGGAUGAAAGCACCCAGGCCAGGCAGAACAUUAUAAGUUCAGUCCAUCUUGUCCUCCUGGAUUCUUGCCUUCUGGGACUGCUUAAAAGUAGUUGCCUGGCUUGGUGUUGCAGAAGAGCUAAAACUAAAGGGCASUGUGAGGUUUGACCACAUGCGGGUUAUUUAUCAACAGUUUCUACUGCUUCCUUCUCUAAUUAGAAUUAUGGAAUCCCUAAGGUUGGAAGGGGCCUCCAGAGUCACCUGGAGCAYGUGGCACAGGGCUGCAUCCAAGCAGCUUUGGAAGAUCUCUGAAGAAGGAGACUCCACAACGUCCCUGGGCAGCACUUUUGACUGCAGCAGCUGAGUCUUGAAUUUUCCUACUCCACCCUAAUCAUCUUGCAGUUAAAGUUACUUGGGGCUAAGGAAACAUGACCAGAGGAACUGGCACUUGGAAGUACAUCAGCUCUAAAGCAGCAACUGUGGAAGGGCAAAACAUUAACAGUGCUCAAGGAGKGGAACCUUUUUUCCAGAAACCAGUUCCCUUAACCCUCAGCUGCUUUGGAAGCAUCGUUCAGCUGUAGCAACAUCAUUAAUUAGCACUUGCUAAAUACCAUUUGCACUACUCUAUUUCGUAGGCAACCA